AAAAGACGGAAAGAGCUUGCUCUUUUUCAGAAUUGAGUGGCAAACGGGUGAGUAACACGUAAACAACCUGCCUUCAGGAUGGGGACAACAGACGGAAACGACUGCUAAUACCGAAUAAGUUCCAAGGGCCGCAUGGCCCAUGGAAGAAAAGGUGGCCUCUACCUGUAAGCUAUCGCCCGAAGAGGGGUUUGCGUCUGAUUAGCUGGUUGGAGGGGUAACGGCCCACCAAGGCGACGAUGGAUAGGGGUUCUGAGAGGAAGGUCCCCCACAUUGGAACUGAGACACGGUCCAAACUCC
This 297-nucleotide ribosomal RNA is filed under the name uncultured Dialister sp. Its description in RNAcentral is "partial 16S ribosomal RNA". It matches the Rfam family "Bacterial small subunit ribosomal RNA", at positions 64 to 339 of the family's 1533-position model. The record is from RNAcentral. Lineage: Bacteria; Bacillati; Bacillota; Negativicutes; Veillonellales; Veillonellaceae.